RNAcentral lists this long non-coding RNA (203 nucleotides) under Physcomitrium patens. RNAcentral describes it as "long non-coding RNA (PPAT_LNC012957)". The record is from RNAcentral. Lineage: Eukaryota; Viridiplantae; Streptophyta; Bryopsida; Funariales; Funariaceae.
GGUUGGUGUAAAAGCUGUAAAUGUGUGUUAAAAUUUUGAGAUCAAUUGAACAAUUAGAUCAAAGUAUUUAGAGAUUUUUGUGGAUUGAGGUCUCAAAAAUUGAAGUUUAAAGGUUAGUGGAUAUUUUUAAGAACUUUAAUAAUUUGUCAAUUGGAUUGAAGUGAAUUUUUUUGUAUAGAAAUUAGACUUGAUUUUUAUUAAUU